GGGACAACAGUUGGAAACGACUGCUAAUACCGCAUAAGCCCACGGAUCCGCAUGGAUCUGCGGGAAAAGGAUUUAUUCGCUCUAGGAUGGACUCGCGUCCAAUUAGCUAGUUGGUGAGGUAACGGCCCACCAAGGCGACGAUUGGUAGCCGGACUGAGAGGUUGAACGGCCACAUUGGGACUGAGACACGGCCCAGACUCCUACGGGAGGCAGCAGUGGGGGAUAUUGCACAAUGGGGGAAACCCUGAUGCAGCGACGCCGCGUGGAGGAAGAAGGUUUUCGGAUUGUAAACUCCUGUCGUUAGGGACGAUAAUGACGGUACCUAACAAGAAAGCACCGGCUAACUACGUGCCAGCAGCCGCGGUAAAACGUAGGGUGCAAGCGUUGUCCGGAAUUACUGGGUGUAAAGGGAGCGCAGGCGGACCGGCAAGUUGGAAGUGAAAACUAUGGGCUCAACCCAUAAAUUGCUUUCAAAACUGCUGGCCUUGAGUAGUGCAGAGGUAGGUGGAAUUCCCGGUGUAGCGGUGGAAUGCGUAGAUAUCGGGAGGAACACCAGUGGCGAAGGCGACCUACUGGGCACCAACUGACGCUGAGGCUCGAAAGCAUGGGUAGCAAACAGGAUUAGAUACCCUGGUAGUCCAUGCCGUAAACGAUGAAUACGAGGUGUUGGAGGAUUGACCCCUUCAGUGCCGCAG
RNAcentral lists this ribosomal RNA (695 nucleotides) under uncultured bacterium. Its description in RNAcentral is "bacterial SSU rRNA". It matches the Rfam family "Bacterial small subunit ribosomal RNA", at positions 140 to 851 of the family's 1533-position model. The record is from RNAcentral.